CCUUCGAUAGCUCAGUUGGUAGAGCGGUGGACUGUAGUUGGUGAAACAUGCAAUAGAUAUCCAUAGGUCGCUGGUUCAAAUCCGGCUCGAAGGA
Molecule: transfer RNA, 94 nt
Organism: Drosophila willistoni
Lineage: Eukaryota; Metazoa; Arthropoda; Insecta; Diptera; Drosophilidae
Rfam family: tRNA
About the family: Transfer RNA (tRNA) molecules are approximately 80 nucleotides in length. Their secondary structure includes four short double-helical elements and three loops (D, anti-codon, and T loops).
Source: Rfam